GAGUUUGAUCAUGGCUCAAAUUGAACGCUAGCGGCAAGCUUAACACAUGCAAGUCGGACGGCAGCGAGAAAAAGAAUUUAUUCUUUUUUGUCGGCGAGUGGCGAACGGGUGAGUAAAAUCUGGGGAUCUGCCUAACGGAGGGGGAUAACCACUGGAAACGGUGGCUAAUACCGCGUAAAGUUAAUUUUUAACCAAAGCGGGGGCUUGUAAAACCUCGCGCCAUUAGAUGAACCCAGAGGAGAUUAGCUAGUAGGUAGGGUAAUUGCCUACCUAGGCAACGAUCUCUAGCUGGUCUGAGAGGAUGACCAGCCACACUGGAACUGAGACACGGUCCAGACUCCUAAGGGAGGCAGCAGUGGGGAAUAUUGCACAAUGGGCGAAAGCCUGAUGCAGCUAUGUCGCGUGUACGAAGAAGGCCUUCGGGUUGUAAAGUACUUUCAGCGAGAAAGAAAGUGUGGUACCUAAUACGUAUUGCAAUUGACGUUACUCGCAAAAGAAGCACCGGCUAACUCCGUGCCAGCAGCCGCGGUAAUACGGAGGGUGCAAGCGUUAAUCGGAAUUACUGGGCGUAAAGCGCACGUAGGUGGUUUAUUAAGUCAGAUGUGAAAUCCCUGGGCUCAACCUAGGAACUGCAUUUGAAACUAAUAAACUUGAGUUUCAUAGAGAGGGGUAGAAUUCCAGGUGUAGCGGUGAAAUGCGUAGAGAUCUGGAGGAAUACCAGUGGCGAAGGCGGCCCCCUGGAUGACAACUGACACUCAGGUGCGAAAGCGUGGGGAGCAAACAGGAUUAGAUACCCUGGUAGUCCACGCCGUAAACGAUGUCGACUUGGAGGUUGCAAGCUUGACUAGCAACUCCCGAAGCUAACGCGUUAAGUCGACCGCCUGGGGAGUACGACCGCAAGGUUAAAACCCAAAUGAAUUGACGGGGGCCCGCACAAGCGGUGGAGCAUGUGGUUUAAUUCGAUGAAACGCGAAGAACCUUACCUGGGUUUGACAUCCAUAGAAUUUAACAGAAAUGUUUUAUUGCCUUCGGGAACUAUGAGACAGGUGCUGCAUGGCUGUCGUCAGCUCGUGUUGUGAAAUGUUGGGUUAAGUCCCGCAACGAGCGCAACCCUUAUCCUUUAUUGCCAGCGAUUCGGUCGGGGACUUAAAGGAGACUGCCGGUGAUAAACCGGAGGAAGGUGGGGAUGACGUCAAGUCAUCAUGGCCCUUACAUCCAGGGCUACACACGUGCUACAAUGGCGUACACAAAGAGAAGCAAUAUCGUAAGAAGGAGCAAAACUUUAAAAUACGUCACAGUCCGGAUUGGAGUCUGCAACUCGACUUCAUGAAGUCGGAAUCGCUAGUAAUCGUGGAUCAGAAUGCCACGGUGAAUACGUUCCUGGGCCUUGUACACACCGCCCGUCACACCAUGGAAGUGAGUGGCAAAAGAAGCGAGUAGCUUAACUUUUACGAGAGAGCGCUCACCACUUUGUGAUUCAUAACUGGGGUGAAGUCGUAACAAGGUAACC
RNAcentral lists this ribosomal RNA (1510 nucleotides) under uncultured marine bacterium. Its description in RNAcentral is "bacterial SSU rRNA". It matches the Rfam family "Bacterial small subunit ribosomal RNA". The record is from RNAcentral.